RNAcentral lists this ribosomal RNA (1434 nucleotides) under uncultured bacterium. RNAcentral's name for it is "bacterial SSU rRNA". It matches the Rfam family "Bacterial small subunit ribosomal RNA". The record is from RNAcentral.
AGAGUUUGAUCCUGGCUCAGGAUGAACCCUGGCGGUGUGCCUAAUACAUGCAAGUCGUACGCACUGGCCCAACUGAUUGAUGGUGCUUGCACCUGAUUGACGAUGGAUCACCAGUGAGUGGCGGACGGGUGAGUAACACGUAGGUAACCUGCCCCGGAGCGGGGGAUAACAUUUGGAAACAGAUGCUAAUACCGCAUAACAACAAAAGCCACAUGGCUUUUGUUUGAAAGAUGGCCUUGGCUAUCACUCUGGGAUGGACCUGCGGUGCAUUAGCUAGUUGGUAAGGUAACGGCUUACCAAGGCGAUGAUGCAUAGCCGAGUUGAGAGACCGAUCGGCCACAAUGGAACUGAGACACGGUCCAUACUCCUACGGGAGGCAGCAGUAGGGAAUCUUCCACAAUGGGCGCAAGCCUGAUGGAGCAACACCGCGUGAGUGAAGAAGGGUUUCGGCUCGUAAAGCUCUGUUGUUGGAGAAGAACGUGCGUGAGAGUAACUGUUCACGCAGUGACGGUAUCCAACCAGAAAGUCACGGCUAACUACGUGCCAGCAGCCGCGGUAAUACGUAGGUGGCAAGCGUUAUCCGGAUUUAUUGGGCGUAAAGCGAGCGCAGGCGGUUGCUUAGGUCUGAUGUGAAAGCCUUCGGCUUAACCGAAGAAGUGCAUCGGAAACCGGGCGACUUGAGUGCAGAAGAGGACAGUGGAACUCCAUGUGUAGCGGUGGAGUGCGUAGAUAUAUGGAAGAACACCAGUGGCGAAGGCGGCUGUCUGGUCUGCAACUGACGCUGAGGCUCGAAAGCAUGGGUAGCGAACAGGAUUAGAUACCCUGGUAGUCCAUACCGUAAACGAUGAGUGCUAGGUGUUGGAGGGUUUCCGCCCUUCAGUGCCGGAGCUAACGCAUUAAGCACUCCGCCUGGGGAGUACGACCGCAAGGUUGAAACUCAAAGGAAUUGACGGGGGCCCGCACAAGCGGUGGAGCAUGUGGUUUAAUUCGAAGCUACGCGAAGAACCUUACCAGGUCUUGACAUCUUGCGCUAACCUUAGAGAUAAGGCGUUCCCUUCGGGGACGCAAUGACAGGUGGUGCAUGGUCGUCGUCAGCUCGUGUCGUGAGAUGUUGGGUUAAGUCCCGCAACGAGCGCAACCCUUGUUACUAGUUGCCAGCAUUAAGUUGGGCACUCUAGUGAGACUGCCGGUGACAAACCGGAGGAAGGUGGGGACGACGUCAGAUCAUCAUGCCCCUUAUGACCUGGGCUACACACGUGCUACAAUGGACGGUACAACGAGUCGCAAGCUCGCGAGAGUAAGCUAAUCUCUUAAAGCCGUUCUCAGUUCGGACUGUAGGCUGCAACUCGCCUACACGAAGUCGGAAUCGCUAGUAAUCGCGGAUCAGCAUGCCGCGGUGAAUACGUUCCCGGGCCUUGCACUCACCGCCCGUCA